RNAcentral lists this ribosomal RNA (497 nucleotides) under uncultured bacterium. Its description in RNAcentral is "partial 16S ribosomal RNA". It matches the Rfam family "Bacterial small subunit ribosomal RNA", at positions 28 to 507 of the family's 1533-position model. The record is from RNAcentral.
GACGAACGCUGGCGGCGUGCCUAAUACAUGCAAGUUGAGCGCUGAAGGUUGGUACUUGUACCAACUGGAUGAGCAGCGAACGGGUGAGUAACGCGUGGGGAAUCUGCCUUUGAGCGGGGGACAACAUUUGGAAACGAAUGCUAAUACCGCAUAAAAACUUUAAACACAAGUUUUAAGUUUGAAAGAUGCAAUUGCAUCACUCAAAGAUGAUCCCGCGUUGUAUUAGCUAGUUGGUGAGGUAAAGGCUCACCAAGGCGAUGAUACAUAGCCGACCUGAGAGGGUGAUCGGCCACAUUGGGACUGAGACACGGCCCAAACUCCUACGGGAGGCAGCAGUAGGGAAUCUUCGGCAAUGGACGAAAGUCUGACCGAGCAACGCCGCGUGAGUGAAGAAGGUUUUCGGAUCGUAAAACUCUGUUGGUAGAGAAGAACGUUGGUGAGAGUGGGAAGCUCAUCAAGUGACGGUAACUACCCAGAAAGGGACGGCUAACUACGUG